This 165-nucleotide ribosomal RNA is filed under the name Nothophoma quercina. RNAcentral's name for it is "partial large subunit ribosomal RNA". It matches the Rfam family "Eukaryotic large subunit ribosomal RNA", at positions 99 to 261 of the family's 3401-position model. Lineage: Eukaryota; Fungi; Ascomycota; Dothideomycetes; Pleosporales; Didymellaceae. The record is from RNAcentral.
CGGCAACAGCUCAAAUUUGAAAUCUGGCGUCUUCGGCGUCCGAGUUGUAAUUUGCAGAGGGCGCUUUGGCAUUGGCAGCGGUCCAAGUUCCUUGGAACAGGACGUCACAGAGGGUGAGAAUCCCGUACGUGGUCGCUAGCCUUUACCGUGUAAAGCCCCUUCGAC